RNAcentral lists this ribosomal RNA (398 nucleotides) under uncultured Comamonadaceae bacterium. RNAcentral's name for it is "bacterial SSU rRNA". It matches the Rfam family "Bacterial small subunit ribosomal RNA", at positions 1 to 410 of the family's 1533-position model. The record is from RNAcentral. Lineage: Bacteria; Pseudomonadati; Pseudomonadota; Betaproteobacteria; Burkholderiales; Comamonadaceae.
CGCUGAGUUUGAUCCUGGCUCAGAUUGAACGCUGGCGGAAUGCUUUACACAUGCAAGUCGAACGGUAGAGGGGGUAACCCCUUGAGAGUGGCGAACGGGUGAGUAAUAUAUCGGAACGUGCCCAGUCGUGGGGGAUAACGUAGCGAAAGUUACGCUAAUACCGCAUACGAUCUAAGGAUGAAAGCGGGGGAUCGCAAGACCUCGCGCGAUUGGAGCGGCCGAUAUCAGAUUAGGUAGUUGGUGGGGUAAAGGCUCACCAAGCCAACGAUCUGUAGCUGGUCUGAGAGGACGACCAGCCACACUGGAACUGAGACACGGUCCAGACUCCUACGGGAGCAGCAGUGGGGAAUAUUGGUCAAUGGGCGAAAGCCUGAUGCAGCAACGCCGCGUGAGGGAUG